Molecule: ribosomal RNA, 300 nt
Filed under: uncultured bacterium
Lineage: Bacteria
Description: bacterial SSU rRNA
Rfam family: Bacterial small subunit ribosomal RNA
Source: RNAcentral
ACUCAAUAGAUACCCCGGUAGUCCACGCCGUAAACGAUGAUGACUAGCUGUCGGGGCGCUUAGCGUUCCGGUGGCGCAGCUAACGCGUUAAGUCAUCCGCCUGGGGAGUACGGCCGCAAGGUUAAAACUCAAAGAAAUUGACGGGGGCCUGCACAAGCGGUGGAGCAUGUGGUUUAAUUCGAAGCAACGCGCAGAACCUUACCAGCGUUUGACAUGGUAGGACGGUUUCCGGAGAUGGAUUCCUUCCCUUACGGGACCGUACACACAGGUGCUGCAUGGCUGUCGUCAGCUCGUGUCGUG